This 148-nucleotide ribosomal RNA is filed under the name uncultured bacterium. RNAcentral's name for it is "partial 16S ribosomal RNA". It matches the Rfam family "Bacterial small subunit ribosomal RNA", at positions 565 to 707 of the family's 1533-position model. The record is from RNAcentral.
GGGUGCGCAGGCGGUCUCGUAAGCUGGGUGUGAAAGCCCCGGGCUUAAACCUGGGAAUGGCAUUCAGGACUGCGAGGCUUUGAGUGCGGCAGAGGGAGGUGGAACUUCCAGCGUGUAGCAGGUGAAAUGCGUAGAGAUGUGGAGGAAC